AGGAGGGCACCGAGCUGGAAAAGUGAGGCAGGAGGAGCCAGAGGACUGAUGAACGUACAGGCCCCCGUUUGAAACUGAGACUGUCUUUCAAGUGCAGCAGGAGGCCUAGUGUCUAGGAAGAAAUGCACAUUUUUAUCCUAUGAGCUCCUUUGCCACCUUGCUGACACCUUUCUUGAUAACUCCGAGAUGAAUUCCUCGUUCUCCUCUACUCCUCCACACCUCCACGAUCAGAGCAAAGUACGCGGCACACCUUAUUGCAAGGAGUCUUUUACAAAACUAAACUCUGCCGGUGUCCCACCCAGAUCCGAGCUCCUUCAAGAUGGGGGCCACGUCAGCAUCAUCUUUCUGGCUCAGUGUCUGUUCCAGAAGAGGCACUCAAGGUUUUUAAACGGGUAAAAUGAAACUGUAGGUCCUCUCUGAAGACCCCCUGGGGUUGUAGAUAGAAUGUGGACUGGUGCCUAGGCAGAAGUCUGGAUCCUUCCAUGCCUUUCCCUAGCUUGUAUCACGGCAGGGCCAGGCAUGGAAGUCUCAUCUUGGGCAUGAGUGAGAGAAAGCCCUUGGGCAGGAGUCAGCAGUCCCUCAGAGAUGUCACCUUCCUGCUGAUGGGCUGGGUUCUCCUUCGGUCAGAAUAGUGAAGGAAGUGCGAGGAGGGGCUGACAGUGAAGAUGUCGCAGGUCAGUUAUGGAUAUUAAAGCACGUUGUACCCAGGAGUCAUCUCUGUGUUCCUUCCAGCCGGUGGGUGUCAUCAGCAUUCAUCCCUUGCCCCACCAUGUGCCAGGGACGAGCUGAACUCGGAGGAACAACCAUAAAAAAGACACAGCUCCUGUGCUGAAGGAGCUUCCAGCCUAGUGGGAGAAGUAAAUACUAGAUCUUAAACAGCUGGGAGGAAGCCCCAAAGUGGACUAGAAAAAUCAAUCAAGUAGAGGAGGACGAAAAAUUGGAGCCUCAUCAAACCUGUGAGGAUGGUCCUGCUGUUUUCUCAUUUGACAGGGGAAGGGAGGCUCAAGAGGUUGUGACACGCCCCAUGCCCCAGGGCGGGUGCCCGAAUUUCUGGCUUCCAUCCAUGAGACAGGAGCUGAAAACAUUCGAGAAUAUCACAAAGGAACAGCGACCUGCCCCUGAAGAAGGCAGCUUCUGCAGCAUCGCCAGCUUGCCAGGCCCCUAGUAAGCGUCCUGUUGUUGACGAUGAUUCUCUGUUACAGGAAAAACACAUCAACAGAAGCUCAACAAGUGGUAAUACUUUGAUGUGAGGGAGCAGCCAUUAGGAUACUUCCCUCAU
Long non-coding RNA from Myotis myotis, 1279 nucleotides. RefSeq lists it as uncharacterized. The record is from RefSeq and is a predicted model, not a curated record. The transcript has 4 exons. Lineage: Eukaryota; Metazoa; Chordata; Mammalia; Chiroptera; Vespertilionidae.